Papaver somniferum (opium poppy) is the source of this 427-nucleotide long non-coding RNA. RefSeq lists it as uncharacterized. The transcript is spliced from 2 exons. The record is from RefSeq and is a predicted model, not a curated record. NCBI's taxonomy places the organism in Eukaryota, Viridiplantae, Streptophyta, Magnoliopsida, Ranunculales, Papaveraceae.
UCAUCUGAGUUGAAAUAAGAUUAAAAUUCUGACUCAAAACUUCUAAUAUGUUCAUCUUCUGUCUAAUUAGUUGAUUUCAAGGUCAAACCUGCAGAACCCCGAUUUGAAUCAGAAAGUAAAGUUUUUUUAGAUACUCAGAGCUCUUCCUCGCAACUGUUUCGUGGAAAGAAGAAUACAGAAAUGCAGGCAUAUGUAAGCAAGUAUCACAAGGCUCGAUCUGGACCCAGCCCGAUAGGGAACCGGAACCCACCGUUCAAGCCGUGAUAUAAUAGGUAUGAAAUUUCUUCAUGCAAGUGAAAGUGAGUGGGUAGUGUAACAAUGUAAGUUCAAUAAGGUUGCAUGUAUUUGAGUCGGUUUGCUGACUUGAUGUAUGGGGUACAUAACUUUAUUCUGAGUUUUUAAUAAUAGAGGAAAGAACUUAUGGAGA